UAAGCAUAUCAAUAAGCGGAGGAAAAGAAACCAACAGGGAUUGCCCUAGUAACGGCGAGUGAAGCGGCAACAGCUCAAAUUUGAAAUCUGGCUUCGGCCCGAGUUGUAAUUUGUAGAGGAAGCUUUUGGCGCGGCACCUACUGAGUCCCCUGGAACGGGGCGCCAGAGAGGGUGAGAGCCCCGUAUAGUGGGAUGCCUAGCCUCUGUAAAGCUCCUUCGACGAGUCGAGUAGUUUGGGAAUGCUGCUCAAAAUGGGAGGUAAAUUUCUUCUAAAGCUAAAUAUUGGCCAGAGACCGAUAGCGCACAAGUAGAGUGAUCGAAAGAUGAAAAGCACUUUGAAAAGAGGGUUAAACAGCACGUGAAAUUGUUGAAAGGGAAGCGCUUGUGACCAGACUUGCGCCCGGUUGAUCAUCCGGUGUUCUCACCGGUGCACUCCUCCGGGCUCAGGCCAGCAUCGGUUCUCGCGGGGGGAUAAAGGCCCAGGGAACGUAGCUCUUCCGGGAGUGUUAUAGCCCUGGGUGCAAUGCCCUCGCGGGGACCGAGGUUCGCGCAUCUGCAAGGAUGCUGGCGUAAUGGUCAUCAGCGACCCGUCUUGAAACACGGACCAAGGAGUCAAGGUUUUGCGCGAGUGUUUGGGUGUCAAACCCGCACGCGUAAUGAAAGUGAACGUAGGUGAGAGCUUCGGCGCAUCAUCGACCGAUCCUGAUGUAUUCGGAUGGAUUUGAGUAGGAGCGUUAAGCCUUGGACCCGAAAGAUGGUGAACUAUGCUUGGAUAGGGUGAAGCCAGAGGAAACUCUGGUGGAGGCUCGCAGCGGUUCUGACGUGCAAAUCGAUCGUCAAAUCUGAGCAUGGGGGCGAAAGACUAAUCGAACCAUCUAGUAGCUGGUUACCGCCGAAGU
Molecule: ribosomal RNA, 899 nt
Filed under: Pseudorhypophila pilifera
Lineage: Eukaryota; Fungi; Ascomycota; Sordariomycetes; Sordariales; Naviculisporaceae
Description: LSU rRNA
Rfam family: Eukaryotic large subunit ribosomal RNA
Source: RNAcentral